UACAGAGGUGGCAAGCGUUGUUCGGAAUUACUGGGCGUAAAGGGCGCGUAGGCGGUCUUCUAAGUCUUGUGUGAAAUCCCUCGGCUCAACUGAGGAACUGCACGGGAUACUGGAAGACUUGAGUUCGGGAGAGGGAGGCGGAAUUCCGGGUGUAGCGGUGAAAUGCGUAGAUAUCCGGAGGAACACCGGUGGCGAAGGCGGCUUCCUGGACCGAUCACUGACGCUGAGGCGCGAAAGCUAGGGGAGCAAACGGG
Molecule: ribosomal RNA, 254 nt
Filed under: uncultured bacterium
Lineage: Bacteria
Description: partial 16S ribosomal RNA
Rfam family: Bacterial small subunit ribosomal RNA
Source: RNAcentral